This 243-nucleotide long non-coding RNA is filed under the name Calidris pugnax (ruff). Its description in RNAcentral is "lncRNA (ENSCPUG00000002612.1)". Lineage: Eukaryota; Metazoa; Chordata; Aves; Charadriiformes; Scolopacidae. The record is from RNAcentral.
UAAGAAGCAUUCUUCAAAAUAUGUGUAUAGAUUUCUUGCUUUUUCUCUUCACAGUGGACAUCAAGGAAGACAGAGAAUCAUUUUUCCUCUCGAGAAAGGAAUGAAAGGGAAACUACUGUAGAAGGAAGAAUUACAUGGCCAGGAAGCAGGUGCCCAAGUGCAGCAGAGAGCUCACAGACAGUGUCUGAGCAGGAGAUAAGCAACUCCAGAAGAUGGCUUGCGUAAAGGGAAAGGUGGUGAAGG